Molecule: long non-coding RNA, 309 nt
Organism: Drosophila erecta
Lineage: Eukaryota; Metazoa; Arthropoda; Insecta; Diptera; Drosophilidae
Exons: 2
Source: RefSeq, a predicted model, not a curated record
CCCCUUUCUCGGUCAGCAGGGGUUGACGUUCCACAGCAGCUGGCUUUGGCUUUGUGUGUCAAGUGGCGCUGCACAAACAACCGACUGGGGCACUGGAGGGCUAAGGACUGGCAGUAAGUUCCGGGAUAAUGUGCUAACCUCCGGGUGGAUGGACAAAUAUAAAAGUAGCUGGUUAACAGUGAUCCACAGAUCCACCCAGCAGUUCUGGCUUACUUCUAUUUCCUUUUUGGGAAUAAUUAUGCACAAAUAGAUGGGUCUAUUAUAAGUAUUUCAAUGUGUUUAAAUAAAGUUUGUCUAUAAAAAAUCGCA